Molecule: ribosomal RNA, 497 nt
Filed under: uncultured bacterium
Lineage: Bacteria
Description: partial 16S ribosomal RNA
Rfam family: Bacterial small subunit ribosomal RNA
Source: RNAcentral
GAUGAACGCUGGCGGCGUGCCUAAUACAUGCAAGUCGAGCGAACGGACGAGACGCUUGCUUUUCUGAUGUUAGCGGCGGACGGGGGAGUAACACGUGGAUAACCUACCUAUAAGACUGGGAUAACUUCGGGAAACCGGAGCUAAUACCGGAUAAUAUUCUGAACCGCAUGGUUCAAAAGUGAAAGACGGUCUUGCUGUCACUUAUAGAUGGAUCCGUGCUGCAUUAGCUAGUUGGUAAGGUAACGGCUUACCAAGGCAACGAUGCAUAGCCGACCUGAGAGGAUGAUCGGCCACACUGGAACUGAGACACGGUCCAGACUCCUACGGGAGGCAGCAGUAGGGAAUCUUCCGCAAUGGGCGAAAGCCUGACGGAGCAACGCCGCGUGAAUGAUGAAGGUCUUCGGAUCGUAAAACUCUGUUAGUAGGGAAGAACAUAUGUGUAAGUAACUCUGCACAUCUUGACAGUACCUAAUCAGAAAGCCACGGCUAACUACGUG